RNAcentral lists this ribosomal RNA (459 nucleotides) under uncultured bacterium. RNAcentral describes it as "bacterial SSU rRNA". It matches the Rfam family "Bacterial small subunit ribosomal RNA", at positions 29 to 507 of the family's 1533-position model. The record is from RNAcentral.
AUUGAACGCUGGCGGCAUGCCUUACACAUGCAAGUCGAACGGUAACGCGGGGCAACCUGGCGACGAGUGGCGAACGGGUGAGUAAUGCAUCGGAACGUACCCAGUAGUGGGGGAUAGCCCGGCGAAAGCCCGGAUUAAUACCGCAUACGACCUAAGGGUGAAAGCGGGGGACCGUAAGGCCUCGCGCUAUUGGAGCGGCCGAUGUCAGAUUAGGUAGUUGUGGGGUAAUGGCCUACCAAGCCGACGAUCCCAUAGCNGGUUUGAGAGGAUGAUCAGCCACACUGGGACCCGAGACACGGCCCAGACUCCUACGGGAGGCAGCAGUGGGGAAUCUUAGACAAUGAGGGCAACCCUGAUCUAGCCAUGCCGCGUGAGUGAUGAAGGCCCUAGGGUUGUAAAGCUCUUUCAGCUGGGAAGAUAAUGACGGUACCAGCAGAAGAAGCCCCGGCUAACUCCGUG